This 467-nucleotide ribosomal RNA is filed under the name uncultured bacterium. RNAcentral's name for it is "partial 16S ribosomal RNA". It matches the Rfam family "Bacterial small subunit ribosomal RNA", at positions 28 to 507 of the family's 1533-position model. The record is from RNAcentral.
GACGAACGCUGGCGGCGUGCUUAACACAUGCAAGUCGAACGGAAAGGCCCUGCUUUUGUGGGGUGCUCGAGUGGCGAACGGGUGAGUAACACGUGAGUAACCUGCCCUUGACUUUGGGAUAACUUCAGGAAACUGGGGCUAAUACCGGAUAGGAGCUCCUGCUGCAUGGUGGGGGUUGGAAAGUUUCGGCGGUUGGGGAUGGACUCGCGGCUUAUCAGCUUGUUGGUGGGGUAGUGGCUUACCAAGGCUUUGACGGGUAGCCGGCCUGAGAGGGUGACCGGCCACAUUGGGACUGAGAUACGGCCCAGACUCCUACGGGAGGCAGCAGUGGGAAUAUUGCACAAUGGGCGGAAGCCUGAUGCAGCAACGCAGCGUGCGGGAUGACGGCCUUCGGGUUGUAAACCGCUUUCGCCUGUGACGAAGCGUGAGUGACGGUAAUGGGUAAAGAAGCACCGGCUAACUACGUG